GAUCCUGGCUCAGGACGAACGCUGGCGGCGUGCUUAACACAUGCAAGUCGAGCGGUAAGGCCUUUCGGGGUACACGAGCGGCGAACGGGUGAGUAACACGUGGGUGAUUUGCCCUGCACUUCGGGAUAAGCCUGGGAAACUGGGUCUAAUACCGGAUAUGACCUCCUAUCGCAUGGUGGGUGGUGGAAAGAUUUAUCGGUGCAGGAUGGGCCCGCGGCCUAUCAGCUUGUUGGUGGGGUAAUGGCCUACCAAGGCGACGACGGGUAGCCGACCUGAGAGGGUGACCGGCCACACUGGGACUGAGACACGGCCCAGACUCCUACGGGAGGCAGCAGUGGGGAAUAUUGCACAAUGGGCGAAAGCCUGAUGCAGCGACGCCGCGUGAGGGAUGACGGCCUUCGGGUUGUAAACCUCUUUCAGCAGGGACGAAGCGCAAGUGAC
Molecule: ribosomal RNA, 441 nt
Filed under: Rhodococcus sp. KWR2
Lineage: Bacteria; Bacillati; Actinomycetota; Actinomycetes; Mycobacteriales; Nocardiaceae
Description: bacterial SSU rRNA
Rfam family: Bacterial small subunit ribosomal RNA
Source: RNAcentral